RNAcentral lists this ribosomal RNA (1372 nucleotides) under uncultured bacterium. RNAcentral describes it as "bacterial SSU rRNA". It matches the Rfam family "Bacterial small subunit ribosomal RNA", at positions 28 to 1381 of the family's 1533-position model. The record is from RNAcentral.
GAUGAACGCUGGCGGCGUGCCUAAUACAUGCAAGUCGAGCGAACGGACGAGAAGCUUGCUUCUCUGAUGUUAGCGGCGGACGGGUGAGUAACACGUGGAUAACCUACCUAUAAGACUGGGAUAACUUCGGGAAACCGGAGCUAAUACCGGAUAAUAUUUUGAACCGCAUGGUUCAAAAGUGAAAGACGGUCUUGCUGUCACUUAUAGAUGGAUCCGCGCUGCAUUAGCUAGUUGGUAAGGUAACGGCUUACCAAGGCAACGAUGCAUAGCCGACCUGAGAGGGUGAUCGGCCACACUGGAACUGAGACACGGUCCAGACUCCUACGGGAGGCAGCAGUAGGGAAUCUUCCGCAAUGGGCGAAAGCCUGACGGAGCAACGCCGCGUGAGUGAUGAAGGUCUUCGGAUCGUAAAACUCUGUUAUUAGGGAAGAACAUAUGUGUAAGUAACUGUGCACAUCUUGACGGUACCUAAUCAGAAAGCCACGGCUAACUACGUGCCAGCAGCCGCGGUAAUACGUAGGUGGCAAGCGUUAUCCGGAAUUAUUGGGCGUAAAGCGCGCGUAGGCGGUUUUUUAAGUCUGAUGUGAAAGCCCACGGCUCAACCGUGGAGGGUCAUUGGAAACUGGAAAACUUGAGUGCAGAAGAGGAAAGUGGAAUUCCAUGUGUAGCGGUGAAAUGCGCAGAGAUAUGGAGGAACACCAGUGGCGAAGGCGACUUUCUGGUCUGUAACUGACGCUGAUGUGCGAAAGCGUGGGGAUCAAACAGGAUUAGAUACCCUGGUAGUCCACGCCGUAAACGAUGAGUGCUAAGUGUUAGGGGGUUUCCGCCCCUUAGUGCUGCAGCUAACGCAUUAAGCACUCCGCCUGGGGAGUACGACCGCAAGGUUGAAACUCAAAGGAAUUGACGGGGACCCGCACAAGCGGUGGAGCAUGUGGUUUAAUUCGAAGCAACGCGAAGAACCUUACCAAAUCUUGACAUCCUUUGACAACUCUAGAGAUAGAGCCUUCCCCUUCGGGGGACAAAGUGACAGGUGGUGCAUGGUUGUCGUCAGCUCGUGUCGUGAGAUGUUGGGUUAGGUCCCGCAACGAGCGCAACCCUUAAGCUUAGUUGCCAUCAUUAAGUUGGGCACUCUAAGUUGACUGCCGGUGACAAACCGGAGGAAGGUGGGGAUGACGUCAAAUCAUCAUGCCCCUUAUGAUUUGGGCUACACACGUGCUACAAUGGACAAUACAAAGGGCAGCGAAACCGCGAGGUCAAGCAGAUCCCAUAAAGUUGUUCUCAGUUCGGAUUGUAGUCUGCAACUCGACUACAUGAAGCUGGAAUCGCUGGUAAUCGUAGAUCAGCAUGCUACGGUGAAUACGUUCCCGGGUCU